GGGGACAUAGCUCAGUGGUAGAGUGCUUACCUAGUAUAUAUGAGGCCUUGGGUUGAUCCCCAGCACCA
This 68-nucleotide transfer RNA is filed under the name Marmota monax (woodchuck). RNAcentral's name for it is "tRNA.Thr". Lineage: Eukaryota; Metazoa; Chordata; Mammalia; Rodentia; Sciuridae. The record is from RNAcentral.